Molecule: ribosomal RNA, 438 nt
Filed under: uncultured prokaryote
Description: bacterial SSU rRNA
Rfam family: Bacterial small subunit ribosomal RNA
Source: RNAcentral
UGGGGAAUUUUGCGCAAUGGGCGAAAGCCUGACGCAGCGAUGCCGCGUGUACGAUGAAGGCCUUUGGGUCGUAAAGUACUGUCAACUGAGACGAAAGCGUCCUGUUUAAGAGAUAGGACGUGUGACGGUAUCAGUGGUGGAAGCGCCGGCUAACUCUGUGCCAGCAGCCGCGGUAAUACAGAGGGCGCAAACGUUGCUCGGAAUGACUGGGCGUAAAGAGCUUGUAGGCGGCGGGUUAAGUCGACUGUGAAAGCCCAUGGCUCAACCAUGGAAGUGCAGUCGAUACUGGCUCGCUUGAGUCCCGGAGGGGGUGGUAGAAUUCCUAGUGUAGAGGUGAAAUUCGUAGAUAUUAGGAGGAAUACCGGUGGCGAAGGCGACCACCUGGACGGGUACUGACGCUGAGAUGCGAAAGCGUGGGGAGCAAACAGGAUUAGAUAC